This 507-nucleotide ribosomal RNA is filed under the name uncultured bacterium. RNAcentral's name for it is "bacterial SSU rRNA". It matches the Rfam family "Bacterial small subunit ribosomal RNA", at positions 29 to 517 of the family's 1533-position model. The record is from RNAcentral.
AAUCAACGCUGGCGGCGUGCCUAACACAUGCAAGUCGAACGCGAGAGGGGCUUCGGCCCCAAUUGAGUGGCGAACGGGUGAGUAACACGUGGGUGAUCUACCUUUGAGUGGGGGAUAACGUUCCGAAAGGAACGCUAAUACCGCAUGACGUCCCGGGUUUGAAGACCUGGAAACCAAAGCCGGGGACCGCAAGGCCUGGCGCUCGAGGAGGGGCCCGCGUCUGAUUAGCUAGUUGGCGGGGUAAUGGCCCACCAAGGCGACGAUCAGUAGCCGGCCUGAGAGGGCGGACGGCCACACUGGGACUGAGACACGGCCCAGACUCCUACGGGAGGCAGCAGUGGGGAAUUGUUCGCAAUGGGCGCAAGCCUGACGACGCAACGCCGCGUGGAGGAUGAAGGUCUUCGGAUUGUAAACUCCUGUUGAUCGGGACGAAAAGCUUCGACCUAACACGUCGAAGACUGACGGUACCGGUUGAGGAAGCCACGGCUAACUCUGCGCCAGCAGCCG